UAAAGAUUUUAAGGGCGUACGGUGGAUGCCUUGGCGAUAUCAGCCGAAGAAGGACGCGGUAAGCUGCGAUAAGCUACGGAGAGGUGCAAGCAACCUUUGACCCGUAGAUUUCCGAAUGGGGGAACCCGGCAGUGGUUAUGCACUGUCACCCAUACCUUUGAGUAUGAGGAGGGCACCUGGGGAACUGAAACAUCUAAUUACCCAGAGGAAAAGUAAUCAAACGAGAUUUUCUUAGUAGCGGCGAGCGAACGGGAAAGAGGCCAAACCGGAGCGGGCAACCGCACCGGGGUUGAGGACAGUCAUCAAGUGUAAAUGAGGUAGAAGAAUCGAGUUGGAAAGCUCAGCCGAAGAAGGUGAAAGCCCUGUAAUCGAAACCUUGCAUACAUGGGACUGUAUCCAGAGUACCACGAGACACGUGAAACCUUGUGGGAAGCAGGGGGGACCACCCUCCAAGCCAAAAUACUGAUAUCGACCGAUAGCGCAUAGUACCGUGAGGGAAAGGUGAAAAGAACCCCUGGCGGGGAGUGAAAGAGAACCUGAAACCGUAUGUCUACAAACAGUCGAAGUCUGUAUAUAUAUCAGGACGACGGCGUGCCUAUUGAAGAAUGAACCGACGAGUUACUGUUGCUAGCGAGGUUAAGUGGAAGACACGGAGCCGCAGCGAAAGCGAGUCUGAACAGGGCGUUCAGUUAGUAAUAGUAGACCCGAAACCGUAGUGAUCUAUCCAUGGCCAGGUUGAAGCACAGGUAAAAUUGUGUGGAGGACCGAACUCGUGAGCGUUGAAAAGCUUUGGGAUGAGUUGUGGAUAGGGGUGAAAUGCCAAUCGAACACGGAGAUAGCUGGUUCUCCCCGAAAUAGCUUUAGGGCUAGCCUCGAGGUUGAGAGUAUAGGCGGUAGAGCACUGAUCGGGCUAGGGGCCAUACCGGUUACCGAACCUAGUCAAACUACGAAUGGCUAUACUUAUACUCGGGAGUCAGACAGUGAAUGAUAAGGUCCAUUGUCAAGAGGGAAACAGCCCAGAACACCGACUAAGGUCCCAAAUGUUACACUAAGUGGCGAAGGAUGUGGAAUUUCCAAAACAACCAGGAUGUUGGCUUAGAAGCAGCCACCAUUUAAAGAGUGCGUAAUAGCUCACUGGUCGAGAGACUCUGCGCCGAAAAUGUCCGGGGCUAAAGUGUAAAACCGAAGUCGUGUCAUAUGCAGCAAUGUAUAUGGGUAGGGGAGCGUUCUCAUUGGGUUGAAGCAGUACCGUAAGGAGUUGUGGACUGAUGAGAAGUGAGAAUGUCGGUAUGAGUAGCGAAAAGAAUGGUGAGAAUCCAUUCCACCGAAAGCCUAAGGGUUCCUGAGCAACGAUCGUCGUCUCAGGGUAAGUCGGGACCUAAGCCGAGGCGGAAAAGCGUAGGCGAUGGACAACAGGUUGAAAUUCCUGUACCGGUGUGAAUCGUUUGAUCGAUGGAGUGACACAGUAAGGUAGGUCAGCACGCGAUUGGAAGUGCGUGUUUAAGCAUGUAGGUUGAGUUAUAGGUAAAUCCGUAGCUCUAAAAGCUGAGAUGUGAUGACGAGUUACUAGCGAUAGUAACGAAGUGAUUGAUCCUACACUGUCGAGAAAAGCUUCUAGGUAGAGACACAUCGCCCGUACCAAAACCGACACAGGUAGGCGGGGAGAGAAUCCUAAGGUGCGCGGGAAAACCCUCGUUAAGGAACUCGGCAAAAUGCCUCCGUAACUUCGGGAAAAGGAGGACUCAUGUAGUGUGAAGGGCAGUAACGCGUGGAGCAUGAAUGAGUGGCACAAGAGAGGCGCAAGCGACUGUUUACCACAAACACAGGUGCCUGCUAAAGCGAAAGCUGAUGUAUAGGUGCUGACACCUGCCCGGUGCUGGAAGGUUAAGAGGAGGGGUUAGACUUCGGUCGAAGCUCUGAAUUGAAGCCCCAGUAAACGGCGGCCGUAACUAUAACGGUCCUAAGGUAGCGAAAUUCCUUGUCGGGU
Molecule: ribosomal RNA, 1987 nt
Filed under: human gut metagenome
Description: bacterial LSU rRNA
Rfam family: Bacterial large subunit ribosomal RNA
Source: RNAcentral